GCGGCGGACGGGUGAGUAACGCGUGGGUAACCUACCCCAAAGUCCGGGAUAACAGCGGGAAACCGCUGCUAAUACCGGAUGUCUUUACCUUGGGGCAUCUUGAGGUAAAGAAAGGUAACGCUUUGGGAUGGGCCCGCGUCCCAUUAGCUAGUUGGUGAGGUAACGGCUCACCAAGGCGACGAUGGGUAGCCGGCCUGAGAGGGUGGACGGCCACACUGGGACUGAGACACGGCCCAGACUCCUACGGGAGGCAGCAGUAGGGAAUAUUGCGCAAUGGACGGAAGUCUGACGCAGCGACGCCGCGUGAGCGAUGAAGGUCUUCGGAUCGUAAAGCUCUGUCCUUGGGGAAGAAGGUCUUCGGACUUGACGGUACCCAAGAAGAAAGCCCCGGCUAACUACGUGCCACCAGCCGCGGUAAUACGUAGGGGGCGAGCGUUGUCCGGAAUUACUGGGCGUAAAGGGUGCGUAGGCGGCCCUUUAAGUCGGAUGUGAAAGCCCGCG
This 501-nucleotide ribosomal RNA is filed under the name uncultured bacterium. RNAcentral describes it as "bacterial SSU rRNA". It matches the Rfam family "Bacterial small subunit ribosomal RNA", at positions 95 to 606 of the family's 1533-position model. The record is from RNAcentral.